RNAcentral lists this ribosomal RNA (401 nucleotides) under Sigmops ebelingi (Ebeling's fangjaw). Its description in RNAcentral is "16S ribosomal RNA". It matches the Rfam family "Bacterial large subunit ribosomal RNA", at positions 1923 to 2488 of the family's 2925-position model. Lineage: Eukaryota; Metazoa; Chordata; Actinopteri; Stomiiformes; Gonostomatidae. The record is from RNAcentral.
UUUAACGGCCGCGGUAUUUUAACCGUGCAAAGGUAGCGCAAUCACCUGUCUUUUAAAUAAAGACCCGUAUGAAUGGCAAGACGAAGGCCCAACUGUCUCCUCACCCUAGUCAAUGAAACUGAUCUCCCCGUGCAGAAGCGGGACUACCACCAUAAGACGAGAAGACCCCAUGAAGCUUUAGACGCCAAGCGCCCCUCCCAAUUACCCUCCCCCAAAAAAUAAAACAGGCCCACCCACCCGUCUUUGGUUGGGGCGACCAGGGGGGAAAUAAGCCCCCCCGAGGACUGGGGGUACCGCCCUUACAACCAAGACCUGCAAUUCUAGGACACAGAACCUCUGACCAAAACGAUCCGACUAACCGAUCAUCGAACCAAGUUACCCUGGGGAUAACAGCGCAAUCC